CUUAAGUAUAACCUGCUUAGUCUGUAUGAUGUUGCUCGUGUGUAUGUUUCCAGAGCUGACCAUUUGGUAUUGGAUAACCAUUUAGUGUAUUCUUACCUGGGGAAGACUAUUUUCCCAACUUCUAGCAUUCCUUAGCUGCCUGUAGAUCUUUGUAUAGUGUGGAGGCCUCAUGUGCUUGCACUCUGUGUCCUUGUUCCGCCCAUGGGCAGGCAGUCAUUUGGUGAGACGUUAUGGGUGUAGCUUCUGACUUUCAUCAGAGAUAUAAUCUCAUAGCAAACUCCCUGAUCUUCUUCUGCCUCUUACAAUCUUCCUGUCUCCUGUUCGUCAAUUAAGAGGUGUGGCAGUUGUUUUGUAGAUCUCCCUGUUGGCACUGUGUUGUGUGUAAUUUUAAAAAACACGCUUCUGCCUUCUCGGUAGCUCUGCCUGUGUCCGGGCUGGGCUGCGAGACCAGCCACCGCCAGUCUCACCAGUCUCGCUCAGCUCCACUGCCACCCUGCCCCCCCUCCAGCUUUGAUAGCUCCCCCAGUCCUUCAUGGCUAGCUUCACCAAACCUCCCACAACUGCCCCAGCUGCCCUCUUUCUCCUCAUGCCCACCUAAGCUCAGCGGUUGGGAAACACUAGGCAGUUUUAUUAUUUUAAAACUAUUUUAAGUUACUACCCAGUAACUCAAAGGCUGGGUGAAGAAUUUCUUGCCUAAUCUUAUCAACUAAAUCCCUCUGUCCUCCUUGGCCCCCACUCGAGGCGGAGGCUACAGACUCUAGGGGCCCUAAGCCCUAAUGUCUGCAGCUUCCUCCUCACUAAAAGCCUGGUCUCUUCUCCCUCGCCAUCUUUUCUUUUCCUCCUGGGAUCUGGAAGUUCCACCUUUUCCCCUUCGCCCAGCAAUUGCUUUCCACCUCCUUUGUUGACACAAUUAAGAACCAAUUAGGGAAUCAACACCUCCCUCUAGGGACUAGGGUCUAUAACUCUGUGUUUUGAUUGGCUGUGGUUUUCUGUAGUGGUCUCCAUAUGUUGCAAGGACUGGUUUCCUUGAUGAGGGGCGAAGACUGCACUUAUCUGUGGGUCUAAGGACAAUGUUUGGAUUUUGGUUAGGGACUGUGCUGGUUUAAUAAAGUGGUGUUGGAGUGGUUAUAGGUUCUCCAAAGUCCAUGACUUGACCAGCACUGCGUAGUUGGGAAGGUUUCCAGUACCAGGCAUGGCCUCCCUUUUGUCAAGAGGGUUUUAGUUCCAAUACACAGUAGGUGGCUAACUCCAAGGUGUGUAUGCCACUACUAUACCGCACCCUUGGUGUUUGCUGUCAUGCCAUGCUGGUCAUUGUAGUUCACGGGCAUCGCAGCUGGGUAGGACUGUUGGCUGCCUCCCUCCUUUGGAAGCGUGCGUGGUGCCUGUUGGAACCAGGAGAGCUCUUCCGCAGGGAGGGGCUGUUCAAAUCAGUUCCAGCUCAGAGACCUCAGCCAUGUUUUUAAUAUGCAUGGUGUCUUCAGCACUAGGGGUUCACCUUCUACCUCUGGAGGGACAACAAAGGGAAACAGCAACAAGCUGUGUGUUUUGUGACUCUUGGACAGCCCUGACCACGAACUCUAAAGAAGGCUUCUCGUUUCUGGCAUAGGAAUUUUUGUUAGGUAGACUUUGGCUUUUGAGGGGAAGGGAACAUUGCCCAAUUGGGAAAAGCUUAUUUGAAAUGUAUAUGUAUAUUUAUACACGGAAUUACAUAUAUUCUAAGUUGGUCGUAUGAAUCACACUUUGCUCUUUUCAUACUUAUGGCAUUUUCAUAAUUAAUGCUUUCAGAUUCCUUAGUGUUACAUUAUUCUCUUACCUCUUCCUUUUGUAUUUCCUUCAUCUCCCCCCCAAAGAGUUCCCCAUUCCCCAUUUUCCUGAUUAGAUCACGUGUACCUUGCUGCUCUCCAGUCUUGCCCUGUUAUGCCCUGUUUCUGAAAUGGCCCCUUCUUAUUUUCUUAUAGUUAUUCUGGGAUAUGUGUGCACAUCUGGGGAUUUGGAGCUAGGAGCCCCUGAUGAGAGAGAACAUGUUACAUUUAUCUUUCUGGGUCUGGGUCACCUUAUUCAAUAGGAUCUUUUCUAGUGCCAUCCUGUAUCUUCAGAGUUCAUAGUUUCAUUUUUUUUUAUAGCUGAAUAGUUUUUCAUACUGUAUAUUGGAUGCAAAAAAGAAAUAAAAAGGAAAGGACAUGACUGCUCCUAGGUAUGGUGGAGGAGAAAGUUUAUUGUAGAUAUGUAGGAGAGUGUAGCCAGAGACAGACACAUCUGGGAGAGUCCAGAGUGAACAUGACCCUGAAUUAUGCGGAGAGAGAGGGAAGGGAAGGGGGAGAGGGAGACCAAGUACAGUAGCCAGGAGGCCAAAGGUACAAAAGGAGAAAAGAGGGGUGGGUAACCAAAAUGUAUAAAUUAUAUAGGGAAGAGACUAGAAAGUUCAAGGUGAAGGGUGGGGCAUGCUGGCCAUACCCUAACAGGUAGGGCCUGAGUGAUGCUGGGAGAAGCUGGUGGCCAAGGCCUGCUUCGAUAUGUUACAUAAGCCCUCAGAUGCUUGUCCUGGCUUUGACACUUAACAUAUAUGUACUACAUUUCAAUGAUCUUUUCAUUGCUUAAAGGACAUUGAGGCCGUCUGUUUCCUAGCUACUAUGAAUAGAGCAGCAAUGAGCACAGCAGAGCAAGUGUCUGUGUGUUUCUCAUGCAGAUUGUGCUUACUUUGGGGAAGGGCUUUUUCUCUUUUUACUAUGAUUUUGUCUGGUCUACACCAGACUUGGGAUUCUUCUCCCUCAUGGAUGCCUGUAGUUGGACGGUCUGGUUUUCAUGAUGUCCCACGUUUCCUGCAUGUUCCUUUCCUGUGUUUAGUUUUUUCCACAUCUUGCCGAUUGGCUCUGGAUCCACAGUGUUGAGUCUUGAUGCUCUGUCUUCUUCAUGGUCCUUUCCACUCGUAAGCCUCCCUUUUGGGUUUUCCAGUUGGGCCCCUGGAGUUUUCGACUCCAUCGUCAUUUCAGCUCGAGUUCCUCUUCAGUGCUUCUACCGCCUUAUUGAAUUCCACUCUUGAGCUCCGGGCUGUUGUGGUUUCUGCCAUCCUUCUGCUUGCACUGUCCUGGGGACCCCUCGGCUUCACUUUCCUACGUUCUUUCCUCUCACUUUCAUUGAGCUCUUUCUUUGUGUCUUCUUUAAACUCCUUGAAUUCUCUGAUGAAGUCCGUUUGUUCUCUUAAAUUCUGUGUUCUGGGGUUCAUCUAGGAAACUCAAUGGCAGACAUUUCUACAGAUCUGGUAGGCUUUGGAGAGAAGAUACUGCCUUGGUCUUUCAUAUUGUUGGUAGUUUUUGCAAUGAGAUCUGGGCAUGCAGGCUUCCUUUAAAAAUUCUGAGUCUGGUGUGGACAGACCAGGUUGAGGCAGAGGAGAAGAUGUGUGGGAGGCUUGGGUUUAAAGUUUGGGAAUAGCUGGGAUGAAUGAAGUCAGGUGGACAGAGGGAACUGAGUUGGUGUACAGGAAACACACUGUGGUCCAGGUCUGGAGGGCAGGGUACGUUUGGUUGACUGGGGCACCGAGUAGUGUUCAGGAAGAAUCCUGUGAUUGACUGUGGUGCAGGCACGGGUGCCCAGACGAGUUUGGUGCACUAGAUGAUGUACUGGUCCAGGUCUGGGGAGUAGGCAUGGAAGGGAGGUCAGGGAGACUCAGGCUAGACCCUGAAGGAGGAGGAGGAGGAAGGGGAGGUCUGGCUUUGGAGAGCAGUUGGAUUCAUCACAGAAAGGACCUGUGGUACUUGUGUGUUUUCUUAUUUGAGGAAAUACUGUUGCACAGUCAAUAGAACAGGGAGACAACUAUCACCGUGGCUUCUUAGAACUGGUUAAACCUCCCAGGGUCAUAUAGGAUCACAGGAUUGGCAUAAAAAGUAUAUUUUUAAAAUUUAUCAUGGCUAGACUCAAGACACAGUGAAAUAAUUAUAGUUAACAUGGACGGAGCAUUCAUGGCCUUCUCCCUAACAUGUUAUCUUCCCUGAAUUAUCAUUACCACUACAAUAUAGUAAUAGUAGAACUUCCCCAUUUCUGACCUAAGAACUAGGAGGUGCAGAGAGGAACUUUAUCAAGGCCUAUGCCUACAGAGCUGAAGCUAUGUCUCAGUGGUUAAGAGCACUGGCUACUCUUCCAGAGGAGUGGGGUUCAGUUCCCAGCACUCAUAUCAUGGCUUUCUGAGGAUCCAACACAUUCUUCUGCCCUCCUCCUUGUUCUACACCCAGAUGUGAUGUACAGCCAUGUAUGCUGGCAAAACACCCACACACAUAUGACAAAUACAAUAAAAAAAAAUCACAUACUUAUAGAGCUAGGGUUUAACAUCAGUUUGGCUCACAGUUUGUGUUAUUUACUGCUGUAUUAUUGUGACCAAAAUAUCUGACUUGUGGCUUCAGGGACCAAAAUAUCUGACUUGUGGCUUCAGGGACCAAAAUAUCUGACUUCUGGCUCCUGGUUUCGGAGCAUCUCAGUGUGUUCUUGCAGGGAAGGCAAGUUAAUGAGUAGCAGAGAGUUACACAGAGGCUGCUCAAAUCACACAGGAACAGGAAGUGGAGCCCAGUCUGUCCUCAAACUCUUGAUUUCCUGCCUCAGCCUUCCAAGUACUGGGAUUAUAGGGGUAUAGCUUUCUGCUUGUCAUCCUUUAUGAUUUACAAGAUGGAGACCAUGAGGAGCUUUGGCUGUUUGUGUAAACAACAAACCAUUGGAACCUAAGAAUGACCCGGUGCAUCUUCACUGGUCAAAUAAUUCAGGCCCUCAGUGGUCUGUGGCCUUGUUUUAUGUGCCGGUCCACAGGAAGGGAUUAGGACGGUGGGUCAGAUGGGCAGUGGUUGGCGAUGAAACAAGGCCACACCAGCAAGGGGCUGAAUUGUUUGACCAGUAAAGAUGUACAUUUGAACAUGCACAUAAAAGUACAUCUAUGAACACACACAUGCACACAUACAUAUGAACUGCCAGUACUUGGGAGGCAGAGUGUGCAGAUCUCUGAGAGUUUGAGGCCAGCCUGGUUUUAGAUAUUGAGUUCCAGGACAGCUGGGGCUACAUAGUGAAACCCUGUCUCAAAUCAACAACAGCAACAACAGCAACAACAACAACUUUGAUAACAACUACAACUACUACUACUAUUACUAUAACUACUACUACAACAACUACCUUUACAACAACAACUACAAGAGAAACAACAACUACACUACAACAAUUACAACAACCACAACCACAACCAUAACCACCACCAUGACAACAACAGCAGCAGCAACAACAGCAAGCAUUACUAUUACUACUAUAAAAGAGGUAAAAGGACUGAGCUCUGAGCUCCUCCACUGGGGAGGAAAGAACUGGCCUAAGGAACUAAGGAGGAGGAACCAAGGUAGCAGAGACAGGGCCGUGGGGUUUCAGAUGCCAACUAAACAAAUUAGUUACAGGAAGUGGUGAGGAAGUGUUAAAAGGGCUGAAUCACUAAAGAUAAGGACAGGGAACUGAAGGCUGCAGUAAAGCAAGUUGGCUUGGUGACUUCUGAAACUGUUUCGGGUUUCCUGUGUCCCAGACUGACCUUUGUAUCAGUGAUGUAGGCAAGGAUGACCUUGAACUUCUGAUUCUUCUGCCUUCAUCUCCAGAAAGCUGGGAUUAUUGGGGGCUCUGAACUGUGUAAGUGUGAAGAAUCCGGCAAGCAGGCAGUGCAUUUGUCUCCCUGCUGUUGACUGUGGCUGUGACGUAACCUGCUGGAGUUCCUACCUUGACUUUCAUGAAAUCAUGGGCAGUCACCUGGAGUUUUAAAGUAAAAUAAAGCCUCCCAAAGUC
Long non-coding RNA from Rattus norvegicus (Norway rat), 5793 nucleotides. RefSeq lists it as uncharacterized. NCBI's taxonomy places the organism in Eukaryota, Metazoa, Chordata, Mammalia, Rodentia, Muridae. The record is from RefSeq and is a predicted model, not a curated record.